UGAGGAAUAUUGGUCAAUGGGCGAGAGCCUGAACCAGCCAUGCCGCGUGCAGGAAGACGGUCCUAUGGAUUGUAAACUGCUUUUAUACAGGAAGAAACACUCCCUCGUGAGGGAACUUGACGGUACUGUAGGAAUAAGGAUCGGCUAACUCCGUGCCAGCAGCCGCGGUAAUACGGAGGAUCCAAGCGUUAUCCGGAAUCAUUGGGUUUAAAGGGUCUGUAGGCGGUUUAAUAAGUCAGUGGUGAAAUCUGGUCGCUCAACGAUCAAACGGCCAUUGAUACUGUUAAACUUGAAUUAGUGUGAAGUAACUAGAAUAUGUAGUGUAGCGGUGAAAUGCUUAGAUAUUACAUGGAAUACCAAUUGCGAAGGCAGGUUACUAACACUACAUUGACGCUGAUAGACGAAAGCGUGGGUAGCGAACA
This 422-nucleotide ribosomal RNA is filed under the name uncultured bacterium. RNAcentral describes it as "bacterial SSU rRNA". It matches the Rfam family "Bacterial small subunit ribosomal RNA", at positions 355 to 774 of the family's 1533-position model. The record is from RNAcentral.